This is a non-coding RNA of Arachis ipaensis, 1192 nucleotides long. The record is from RefSeq and is a predicted model, not a curated record. Lineage: Eukaryota; Viridiplantae; Streptophyta; Magnoliopsida; Fabales; Fabaceae.
AGCCUUUGUACCCUAAAUCCAUCUUCUCCGAGAACGAUGAAGAUUCGAGCCCUAAAUUCAGGGAGCGAAGAGGGAUUCUCCACUUGUUCCGGAGCUCCUCUCACUCCUCGAUCCCAAGCCCUAGCUCUCGCUCUUCUCUUGUCUUCAUUCUCACCGUUGCCGAUCACAUCUCCUUCGAUGACCUCAUUCGCUGGUGUGGGCCCCACCUCCACCAUCUCCACCGCCUCCUCUUCAUCAGGGUAGGUAUAGGUGAAAUAAAGAAGAUGGCUUUUCCAGGAGCAAAUGAAUCCAUGUCAGGAGCCCUUUAUUUACAAAAAGGAGAAGAUAUUCAAUCUGAAAGGCAAAGCUUUGGGUAAUCCACUUGUAGAAUAUGCCACUGACUUCAAUUCAAGGGCUGAGUUUUUUUGGUCUCACGGAUUAAUAUCAGAUUCCCUUUUUACUUGAGUUUUUUUUACUUGAGUUUUUUUUGUUCCUUUUUACUUGAGUUUUUUCCCUUCCUAUGGCCAAACAGAAAGAAAAUGAGAGCAUCGAUGUGUGCGUAGAUGACAAAGUUACAAAUUAUUUGAACGGAAGAGAUGUGCAGCAGGUGCUCCAUGCCAAGCUCAUUGGAGUUCGCAAGUGGGAUGUCUGCAGCAAAAGGUUCUUGUGAUUAGUGCUCAGAAGGGCAACGGAAUGCAGUUCCAAAGGUAAUUUUCUCCACAACUUGUCCUAUUGUUAAAGCACAUGUUAUAAUUUUUUGGUUAAUUGUGCAACCUUUUUAUGUUCCGGAUAGAAGUGGAAUACUCACUACACUUUGCGAUCACUCCUUUCAAUGCCCUUGUGUUUCAAAGUGGACAUACUUGUCUUGCCCGAUUUUGGAUGAAUACAACCGUCUUCUAACAUCUCAGUUGGAAACUCAAAGACAAAACAUACUUCAUGAUUCGGAUGACGAAGAAUGCUUGAAGAUAUUAAAGAAUUGCUGGAAGGCUAUACACCGAAUGAUGGGGUGGACAAAGUUCUUCCUGCAGUGCCAGAGCAGACAGAUGUUGCUAAGAUGGCUUUCAGGUCUGAUGUUUUCAUGAUGUUUCAAACGCCAAAAGGGAAGGAACGAACCUACCAAGAUUUGUAAAUCCCACCUUAGUAAAUCUGUAUAAUUAUUGUCAAAUUUGGUAAGCUAAUUGAAGUAUUAGAUAGCAUUGUAUUUUUUGCUCAA